RNAcentral lists this long non-coding RNA (1169 nucleotides) under Monodelphis domestica (gray short-tailed opossum). RNAcentral describes it as "lncRNA (ENSMODG00000034721.2)". The record is from RNAcentral. Lineage: Eukaryota; Metazoa; Chordata; Mammalia; Didelphimorphia; Didelphidae.
UGUUAGUCUUGGUAAUUUAUAUUUUUGUAAAUAUUCAUCCAUAUCACCUAAAUUGGUAUAUUUAUUGCCGUAUAAUUGGGCAAAGUAGUUUUUAAUGAUUGCCUUAAUUUCCUCUUUAUUGGAGGCAAGUUCCCCCUUGUCAUCUUUGAUGCUGUUAAUUUGCUUUUCUUCUUUCCUUUUUUUAAAUUAUAUUGACCAUUACUUUGUCUAUUUUGUUUGUUUUCUCAAAGUACCAGCUUCUAGUCUUAUUUAUUAGUUCAAUAGUUCUAUCACUUUCGAUUUUAUUAAUUUCUCCCUUAGUUUUUACAAUCUCUAGUUUGGUUUUCUUCUGGGGGUUUUUCAUUUGUUCACUUUCAACUUUUUUUAUUUGCAUUUCCAAUUCAUUGAUCUCUGCCCUCCCUAAUUUGUUAAUAUAUGCACUCAGGGAUAUGAAUUUUCCCCUGAGUACUGCUUUGGCUGCAUCCCAUAAGGUUUGAAAGGAUGUCUCACCAUUGUCAUUUUCCUCGAUGAAAUUAUUAAUUGUUUCUAUGAUUUGUUCUCUAUCUAAUAGAUUUUGGCGUAUCAUAUUAUUUAAUUUCCAAUUAAUUUUUGAUUUGGCUCUCCACCUUACUGAUCAUUAUUUUUAUUGCCUUAUGAUCUAAAAAGGCUGCAUUUAUUAUUUCUGCUUUUCUGCAUUUGUCUGCCAUGUUUCUGUGACCUGGUGUAUGGUCAAUCUUUGUGAAUGUGUCAUGUGGCGCUGAGAAGAAGGUGUAUUCCUUUUUGCCCCUAUUUAUUUUUUUCCAUAUGUCUAUUAACUCUAAUUUUUCUAAGAUUUCCUUCACAUCUUCUAACUCUUUCUUAUUUAUUUUUUAUUUGAUUUAUCUAAAUUUGAUAGUGUUUUAUUCAGAUCUCCCACUACUAUGGUUUUACUGUCUAUUUCCUCCUUCAGUUCUUCUAGUUUCUCCAUUAGACAUUUGGGUGCUAUACCAUUUGGUGCAUAUAUGUUGAUUAGUGAUAUUUCCUCAUUGUGUAUAGUCCCUUUUAACAAAAUAUAUUUACCUUCCCUAUCUCUUUUAAUCAGGUCUAUUUUUGUUUUGGCUUUGUCAGAUAUCAUGAUUGCAACUCCUGCUGUAUUUCUAUCAGUUGAGGUCCAAAAGGUCUUACUCCAUCCUUCAAUUCUGACCUUAUGA